CCCAUCACUUCUCUUCCAAGCGAAUAAAUCUUUUGCUUUUUACUAAAGAUUUCCACGGAGAGGAGUAAUGGAGAGAUGGAAGGCAAUUUUUGUGGGCCCCUUGGUAGUGGAG
Molecule: small nuclear RNA, 112 nt
Organism: Tachyglossus aculeatus (Australian echidna)
Lineage: Eukaryota; Metazoa; Chordata; Mammalia; Monotremata; Tachyglossidae
Product: U5 spliceosomal RNA
Exons: 1
Source: RefSeq, a predicted model, not a curated record